This 483-nucleotide ribosomal RNA is filed under the name uncultured bacterium. RNAcentral's name for it is "partial 16S ribosomal RNA". It matches the Rfam family "Bacterial small subunit ribosomal RNA", at positions 30 to 507 of the family's 1533-position model. The record is from RNAcentral.
AUUGAACGCUGGCGGCAGGCCUAACACAUGCAAGUCGAGCGGAUGAAGGGAGCUUGCUCCUGGAUUCAGCGGCGGACGGGUGAGUAAUGCCUAGGAAUCUGCCUGGUAGUGGGGGAUAACGUCCGGAAACGGGCGCUAAUACCGCAUACGUCCUGAGGGAGAAAGUGGGGGAUCUUCGGACCUCACGCUAUCAGAUGAGCCUAGGUCGGAUUAGCUAGUUGGUGGGGUAAAGGCCUACCAAGGCGACGAUCCGUAACUGGUCUGAGAGGAUGAUCAGUCACACUGGAACUGAGACACGGUCCAGACUCCUACGGGAGGCAGCAGUGGGGAAUAUUGGACAAUGGGCGAAAGCCUGAUCCAGCCAUGCCGCGUGUGUGAAGAAGGUCUUCGGAUUGUAAAGCACUUUAGUUGGGAGGAAGGGCAGUAAGUUAAUACCUUGCUGUUUUGACGUUACCAACAGAAUAAGCACCGGCUAACUUCGUG